Molecule: long non-coding RNA, 448 nt
Organism: Xenopus laevis (African clawed frog)
Lineage: Eukaryota; Metazoa; Chordata; Amphibia; Anura; Pipidae
Exons: 3
Source: RefSeq, a predicted model, not a curated record
AUGUUAGAUCCUGCGGGGACGAACGAUGUUUUGUUCUAAGAUGCAGCAGGAGAUUCCUGUACCCCGCAGUGAGAAGCCCAAUCACGCUCAUCGGUAUUAUCAAAGCCAGCUGAGUCGGGCCAACUCCAAAAAGUCAGCAGCAAACAUGCCAACGUUUCUGGACAGUUCAACGGCACAACAGGUGAAGGAGACUGAGAAACUCGACCCAGAGCACAUUUAUAUCUCUACCCGCACAGUACUUGGAGACCAGAGACAGUGUGCUGGGGCAACAGCCCCCCCCCAUGACCUGGAUUAUCCCUGCCAUCUGUGCUGAUAUCUCACAACGUUCUAGGGGCAAAUCACCCAGGCCUCACAAAACAUAAGAACUGUGCUGACAAGUUAUCCAAGAUCCUUCAUCAACUCCAAUAACAUGGUCAAGUAAACCAGGUUGACGUCUGAAUUAUAAACC